UGAGAGGUAUUGGUGGGAGCCUGGGCCUGUGUGCUCUUGGACCUCACUCCCCUCCAGCCUCCUGUGCCUGCGGGACAAAGGGGCUCUUCCCUAGAUGGGGCAGGAAUCCAGCUCCAGCAUUCACAACCCAGGGAGGACAGACAGCAGGCCAGAAUCUCACACCUCGAUGGCGCGGGCAACCUGGCUCAGGGGACUUCAAGGCAUCUUCCUUCUGCCCCUGGUCACAGCACAUCCACUGACCCUCACAACAGCAUCUGAGAACCUUCCCUUCACAGAAGAGGAAAACCGGGUCUCAGACUCUCUCUCAAGUCCACACACCCGGUGUGUCUCAAACUGUUUCCCGAAUCAUCAACUUCUUGAGUGUUCAGGGCCACUUACAGGCUGAGGACACUUCCAGAAUGGCUCUGAGAUGCGAACCCCAGGGCACAGAGCUGAGAACAUCCAAUACAUUCCCGGUUCAGUUCAACAUAAGGAAGCCUGCUCCCCGCCAUGAGGAAAAGGAAGACGGCCAAAAGGGAACUUCCACCAUCUGAUUAAUUGCAGCCUGCCGAUAAGAAUGGUGUUCCCAGAAAACAGCUCUGCAAGCCCUUCUUCCUGGCAAUCCCUUAGCAGCUAGAAGACCUUUCUCUUUUUGGGUCCAGACAAACCCCUGAGUUCCUGCAAUACUAGAGAGUACCUGCUUAGGCACUUGCUAUACCUCGAGCUUUUGGACGGGGUCUCCAAAAGAAGCCUAUGCCUGCUCUGUGAAUAAAGUGUACACAAGUCAAA
Molecule: long non-coding RNA, 768 nt
Organism: Suricata suricatta (meerkat)
Lineage: Eukaryota; Metazoa; Chordata; Mammalia; Carnivora; Herpestidae
Exons: 5
Source: RefSeq, a predicted model, not a curated record